RNAcentral lists this transfer RNA (86 nucleotides) under Bacillota bacterium. RNAcentral describes it as "tRNA-Ser". It matches the Rfam family "tRNA". Rfam says of the family: Transfer RNA (tRNA) molecules are approximately 80 nucleotides in length. Their secondary structure includes four short double-helical elements and three loops (D, anti-codon, and T loops). The record is from RNAcentral. Lineage: Bacteria; Bacillati; Bacillota.
GGAGGGGUACCGUAAUCGGCAACGGAACGGUCUUGAAAACCGUCGCCCGCAAGGGCUUGCGGGUUCGAGUCCCGCCCCCUCCGCCA